Molecule: long non-coding RNA, 1473 nt
Organism: Arvicola amphibius (Eurasian water vole)
Lineage: Eukaryota; Metazoa; Chordata; Mammalia; Rodentia; Cricetidae
Exons: 2
Source: RefSeq, a predicted model, not a curated record
GUGCCCCUUGCGGUUCUUUGUCACUGGAUCUCCUCCAAUUUGCAUCCUCUUCCCCAGACCCUCCGGAACCUCUGAACCGCUACCCAGCCAGUCUGGCCCUGGAGGAUCCCCACCGCCUGGCCUCAUUCCUGGGCUCUACUUACUUCUGGAUAGCGUGUAUUCCCUUCCCGCGCGUGGCCGAGUCCCAAUUUCAGGGCUGUUAGAUCUGUUCAAGGACCACACCUUGGCCCUCGGAUGCAAACCUCCUGGCCUUUUACAUUUUGCCUGGACAGGAGGAAGGGCAAGUUCCUGGAGUGUAGGUUGCAGAAGUCCCAGGCAAAGGAGAAGGAAGACCACAAGGUGCCAGGAUGUUGUGGGAGGAGGGGGUGAAGGCUAGGUGGUUAGCGUGGGCAAAGAGGUGAGUCUGGGGCCAGCAUCCCGAAUUUGGACGGUAGAAGAUUGUUAAAACGUGGUGUGUAGGUGCUGUAAACGAUUGUAUUUGGACAGGAAGCCCAACUGAGUUAAUGGCCACGUAGGGUCUGAAGUCUUUCCGGGAGUCUUAAAAAGGGGCCCUUAAAGGCAUUCAGAGACCUCACUUUCGUAAUAGCUAGUUCACCCUGGACAGAAUCAGGGCUAAGUUUCUGCCUGGGAUUAGUGAGGGCAGCCUGAUUUUUAAAGUUUACUUUCGGUGGGAAAAUAAGGGGGGGAUGGUAAUGAAAAUUCACCACACCUCAUCUGUGUGGUUAGAUAACUCAAUGAUAUCUGCUGCAGGACAGACAUGAGCAGGCCGGAUAACCUAGAUUUUAUUUAAUACAAUGCACCUGUCCUGGUGGUGGGGCAUUUGCCUUGUUUAGCUGCUAAUGUGGGAAAGCCUUCGUUUUUGCAGCUUGUGUCCCUCUUGCUUGUUUUGGGCGUAGAGAAAACAUUUAUCCCUCUUAAACUGUUUCUCCAAAUUGUUGUGCUUGCUUUAAGCCUAAUUUCUGGGCCCGGACAUUUUAGUUACCCCAAGUAUAAGUACUAGAGUUACAAAAUUCUGUUUUGAAUCAUCACAGUCAUUUGCAAAAGAGGAACUGUUGUCUAGACGUCUAUCAUUCCCUGAAGUGAGCUGACAAUUCAAUUUGAUGAAUUAAUGCUGAAAUUAAUAUUAAUCAAUGGCAAAGGAGACUGGAGCAGAGGACGGACCUUUGAUGGAUGGUCACAGGUUUCUCCGGGCUGCGAAGCGUCUUGCUUUCAGAAAUGACUUUUUCCACUUCUUGCAUAGGUUUGCCUUGUCUGGAGGACUCUGAUGAUGGACUUGUUCAGACAGCCCCAAUUUUGUAUUUGAGACCCUGAGGAAUUCAGCAGUUUGUCCAGCUUGCAUAGCUAGUUGGUGACAGAGCUAGUCCUCAAAUCUUGGAUUAUUUCCAAACCCAGUGUUUGCAGUAUUGUAUCACACUGAGAAACCCUCAUGCUGUUCACUGUGAGCACUUAAUAAAUACUGGAUUUCUAAGAGCA